Diceros bicornis minor is the source of this 1273-nucleotide long non-coding RNA. RefSeq lists it as uncharacterized. NCBI's taxonomy places the organism in Eukaryota, Metazoa, Chordata, Mammalia, Perissodactyla, Rhinocerotidae. The record is from RefSeq and is a predicted model, not a curated record. The transcript is spliced from 4 exons.
GGAGAACUCCAAUGGCAUCUGUGUCAGCACCCCCACACCAGGCCACAACAAUGGCCGCCGCCAAUGUCCCAGUCCCUGGAGAGGUCUCACCUCUCACCGAGAUGCACUCAGGGCCUAUCAGUGGCAUUGGCUCCAUCCAUUGAACAGAUGAGGAGCCCAAGACACAUAAGAUGGAGAGCCUGAAGAUUUUGCACUAAUUGAAAGAGACCUUCAGGCCUUUGUUUUGCGAGUAGAAUGGCAGAUGGCGUGGAAUGCAGGGAUAUGUAUGAGAAGAAAGAAAGAAAAAUUGACAUGGAAUGGAUCUCUCAUCAUAUGAGACUGUUCUGCCUGGUUUUUUUGAUUCAGAGCUUCGAGGCAAAAUGUCAAGUCAUCUGCAGCCAGUCACUUUCCGUAAUUUUCCUGUUUAUUCCACUGAGUGCUAUAAAGUAUGUUCUCAAGGCAGGUCCUACCAGUGUGCCAUAUGGCAGCCUCCUGUAUCAGCCCUGUCACCAAGCCCUCCAGGAAACGAGGCACUGUAUUGUUCUCAGGACACAAACAGCCCCACAGUUAGACAGAAACCCUUGCUUCUUUCCAAAUUGCUGACUGCCAGACAUCAAAGAAUUUCACCAAAAAGUUAAUAGUGAGGAGAAUUGGGGAUAUUAUUGAACCUCAUGUUAGGAACACAGGCCAUCAUUCAUUAAUUUAUUUCACGAGAUUAACUGAGCCCUAACUUUGUGCCAGGAACUGUUCUAGGUGAAGGCAAUAUAAAAGUAAAAAAAAAAAAAAAAACACAAACAUUACAAAAAAAAAAAUAAAGAAGUAAAGAAAUUAUCAAGAUACUUUUGAUAGAGGUAAGCAAAGAACUGAAGUUAGGUGAUGUGGUGAGAGGCUGAUGGGACACUUUAGAGAGUAGGCUGGGAAUGACCAAUCUGAGGAAGUCGUAUUAAAGCUGAGGACUGAAGUCAGGAAAGAACCAGACAUGUAAAGAUCAGGAAGCAGAGAAUUCAAGCACAGGGGAGGGAAGUCAAGAUGGCGGCGUAGGCAGACUCUGAACUCACCUCUUCCCGUGGACACAGCCAAUUUACAACUACUCGUGGAAAAAUCACCCCUGAGACAGAACUGAAAACUGGAUGAGAGGAACUCCUGCAACAACGGACAAUCCUAACUGAGGUAGAAGAGGCAGAGACUCCCUUAUGGAGAGGAAAACGCCGCCUUCACCAGCCGCCAGCUUCACGGCCGCCGGGAGCAGCGCACAGGUACGCAGCCUCCCAGGAGGCGCGGGGUCCUGAGCCGG